GAAUUUAAACCUCUUCCAGAGUAUCAAUUGGAGGGCAAGUCUGGUGCCAGCAGCCGCGGUAAUUCCAGCUCCAAUAGCGUAUAUUAAAAUUGUUGCAGUUAAAAAGCUCGUAGUUGAAUUUCUGCUGCAUUGCUUUUGCUCCUUUACGAGUCUUUGCAUUGUGGCUUAUUUCGGACUUUGUUUUACAAUGUCCGGAUGUUUACUUUGAGAAAAUUAGAGUGCUCAAAGCAGGCUUUCGCCUUGAAUAGUUUAGCAUGGAAUAAUAAAGUAGGACUUUGGUUCUAUUUUGUUGGUUUUAGGUACCAAAGUAAUGGUUAAUAGGAACAGUUGGGGGCAUUCGUAUUUAACUGUCAGAGGUGAAAUUCUUAGAUUUGUUAAAGACGAACUACUGCGAAAGCAUUUGC
This 404-nucleotide ribosomal RNA is filed under the name Theileria ovis. RNAcentral describes it as "SSU rRNA". It matches the Rfam family "Eukaryotic small subunit ribosomal RNA", at positions 521 to 958 of the family's 1831-position model. Lineage: Eukaryota; Apicomplexa; Aconoidasida; Piroplasmida; Theileriidae. The record is from RNAcentral.